RNAcentral lists this ribosomal RNA (394 nucleotides) under uncultured bacterium. Its description in RNAcentral is "partial 16S ribosomal RNA". It matches the Rfam family "Bacterial small subunit ribosomal RNA", at positions 523 to 918 of the family's 1533-position model. The record is from RNAcentral.
AUACGUAGGGGACGAGCGUUGUCCGGAAUUACUGGGCGUAAAGGGCGCGCAGGCGGAUAUUUAAGUCAGCUGUAAAAGGCAUGAGCUCAACUCAUGUAUGCGGUUGAAACUGGGUAUCUAGAGUGCUGGAGAGGUAGGCGGAAUUCCCGGUGUAGCGGUGAAAUGCGGAGAUAUCGGGAAGAACACCAGUGGCGAAGGCGGCUUCCGGGCCAGCAACUGACGCUGUGGGGCGAAAGGCAGGGGGGCGAACGGGAUUAGAUACCCCGGUAGUCCUGGCCGUAAACGAUGAAGGCUAGGUGUGGGUGUCGAGAGGCAUCCGUGCCGGAGUUAACGCGAUAAGCAUUCCGCCUGGGGAGUACGAUCGCAAGAUUGAAACUCAAAGGAAUUGACGGGG